Molecule: long non-coding RNA, 432 nt
Organism: Dermochelys coriacea (leatherback sea turtle)
Lineage: Eukaryota; Metazoa; Chordata; Testudines; Dermochelyidae
Exons: 3
Source: RefSeq, a predicted model, not a curated record
AUGUCUACACUACCCGCUGGAUCUGCGGGCAGUGAUCGAUCUAUCGGGGAUCGAUUUAUUGUGUCUAGUGUAGAUGCGAUAAAUCGAUCCCCGAUCGCUCUGCCGUCGACUCCGGAACUCCACCACGGAGAGAGGAGGAAGCGGAGUCGACGAGGGAGUGGCGGUCAUUGAUCCCACGCAGCGAGGAUGCAAAAUUUCUCUCAAUCUUCCUCCAAGCAACUGGGUCAGGCUGCCCCUUGCCCUGGUAUGCUGUCUAUUGUCAAGAGGUGCAAUGAUCUACCACCUUCUUUGCUUUGCAGUACUAAUGGCAGGACAAGUUCUAUUUCCAAAGCAGUGCACGUGCAUGACACGCCUGAUGCAAGUUUACACACAAAAAAGCAUCCCAAAAAGAGGCACAUCAACUGCUGAAUUCAAAACAAGAAGUCGGGGCAG